RNAcentral lists this ribosomal RNA (486 nucleotides) under Vibrio alginolyticus. RNAcentral describes it as "partial 16S ribosomal RNA". It matches the Rfam family "Bacterial small subunit ribosomal RNA", at positions 1 to 471 of the family's 1533-position model. The record is from RNAcentral. RNAcentral also lists the same sequence under 1 other name. Lineage: Bacteria; Pseudomonadati; Pseudomonadota; Gammaproteobacteria; Vibrionales; Vibrionaceae.
AAAUUGAAGAGUUUGAUCAUGGCUCAGAUUGAACGCUGGCGGCAGGCCUAACACAUGCAAGUCGAGCGGAAACGAGUUAUCUGAACCUUCGGGGAACGAUAACGGCGUCGAGCGGCGGACGGGUGAGUAAUGCCUAGGAAAUUGCCCUGAUGUGGGGGAUAACCAUUGGAAACGAUGGCUAAUACCGCAUGAUGCCUACGGGCCAAAGAGGGGGACCUUCGGGCCUCUCGCGUCAGGAUAUGCCUAGGUGGGAUUAGCUAGUUGGUGAGGUAAGGGCUCACCAAGGCGACGAUCCCUAGCUGGUCUGAGAGGAUGAUCAGCCACACUGGAACUGAGACACGGUCCAGACUCCUACGGGAGGCAGCAGUGGGGAAUAUUGCACAAUGGGCGCAAGCCUGAUGCAGCCAUGCCGCGUGUGUGAAGAAGGCCUUCGGGUUGUAAAGCACUUUCAGUCGUGAGGAAGGCGGGUACGUUAAUAGCGUAUUC